This 1238-nucleotide ribosomal RNA is filed under the name metagenome. RNAcentral describes it as "bacterial SSU rRNA". It matches the Rfam family "Bacterial small subunit ribosomal RNA", at positions 8 to 1255 of the family's 1533-position model. The record is from RNAcentral.
AGAGUUUGAUCCUGGCUCAGGAUGAACGCUAGCGGCAGGCUUAACACAUGCAAGUCGAGGGGUAUUGGUUUUCGGACCAAGAGACCGGCGCACGGGUGCGUAACGCGUAUGCAAUCUACCUUUCACAGAGGGAUAGCCCAGAGAAAUUUGGAUUAAUACCUCAUAGUAUGCAGAGUUGGCAUCAACAUUGCAUUAAAGUCACAACGGUGAAAGAUGAGCAUGCGUCCCAUUAGCUAGUUGGUAAGGUAACGGCUUACCAAGGCUACGAUGGGUAGGGGUCCUGAGAGGGAGAUCCCCCACACUGGUACUGAGACACGGACCAGACUCCUACGGGAGGCAGCAGUGAGGAAUAUUGGACAAUGGGCGCAAGCCUGAUCCAGCCAUGCCGCGUGCAGGAUGACGGUCCUAUGGAUUGUAAACUGCUUUUGUACGGGAAGAAACACUCCUUCGUGAAGGAGCUUGACGGUACCGUAAGAAUAAGGAUCGGCUAACUCCGUGCCAGCAGCCGCGGUAAUACGGAGGAUCCAAGCGUUAUCCGGAAUCAUUGGGUUUAAAGGGUCCGUAGGCGGUUUAGUAAGUCAGUGGUGAGAGCCCAUCGCUCAACGGUGGAACGGCCAUUGAUACUGCUAGACUUGAAUUAUUAGGAAGUAACUAGAAUAUGUACUGUAGCGGUGAAAUGCUUAGAGAUUACAUGGAAUACCAAUUGCGAAGGCAGGUUACUACUAAUGGAUUGACGCUGAUGGACGAAAGCGUGGGUAGCGAACAGGAUUAGAUACCCUGGUAGUCCACGCCGUAAACGAUGGAUACUAGCUGUUGGGAGCGAUCUCAGUGGCUAAGCGAAAGUGAUAAGUAUCCCACCUGGGGAGUACGUUCGCAAGAAUGAAACUCAAAGGAAUUGACGGGGGCCCGCACAAGCGGUGGAGCAUGUGGUUUAAUUCGAUGAUACGCGAGGAACCUUACCAAGGCUUAAAUGUAGAUUGACCGGUUUGGAAACAGACUUUUCGCAAGACAAUUUACAAGGUGCUGCAUGGUUGUCGUCAGCUCGUGCCGUGAGGUGUCAGGUUAAGUCCUAUAACGAGCGCAACCCCUGUUGUUAGUUGCCAGCGAGUCAUGUCGGGAACUCUAACGAGACUGCCAGUGCAAACUGUGAGGAAGGUGGGGAUGACGUCAAAUCAUCACGGCCCUUACGCCUUGGGCUACACACGUGCUACAAUGGCCGGUACAGAGAGCAGUCACCG